UACGUAGGGUGCAAGCGUUGUCCGGAAUUAUUGGGCGUAAAGAGCUCGUAGGCGGUCUGUCGCGUCGGCUGUGAAAACCCGGGGCUCAACCCCGGGCCUGCAGUCGAUACGGGCAGACUAGAGUGCGGUAGGGGAGACUGGAAUUCCUGGUGUAGCGGUGAAAUGCGCAGAUAUCAGGAGGAAUACCGGUGGCGAAGGCGGCAUCCUGGACCGGCAUUGACGCUGAUGAGCGAAAGCUAGGGGAGCAAACGGG
RNAcentral lists this ribosomal RNA (253 nucleotides) under uncultured bacterium. RNAcentral's name for it is "partial 16S ribosomal RNA". It matches the Rfam family "Bacterial small subunit ribosomal RNA", at positions 524 to 776 of the family's 1533-position model. The record is from RNAcentral.